Schistosoma mansoni is the source of this 45-nucleotide non-coding RNA. Lineage: Eukaryota; Metazoa; Platyhelminthes; Trematoda; Strigeidida; Schistosomatidae. The record is from Rfam.
AUCCAGCUGACGAGUCCCAAAUAGGACGAGAAGCGCGUUUUGGAU